RNAcentral lists this ribosomal RNA (321 nucleotides) under uncultured eukaryote. Its description in RNAcentral is "partial 18S ribosomal RNA". It matches the Rfam family "Eukaryotic small subunit ribosomal RNA", at positions 1470 to 1796 of the family's 1831-position model. The record is from RNAcentral.
CCCUUAGAUGUUCUGGGCCGCACGCGUGCUACACUGAGUGGAUCAGCGGGUCAGGUUGCGCGAAAGUGUUUCCUAAUCUUGAAAUCCGCUCGUGAUGGGGAUUGACGGUUGCAAUUUUCCGUCAUGAACGAGGAAUACCUUGUAAGCGCGGGUCAUCAUCCCGCGCUGAAUACGUCCCUGCCCUUUGUACACACCGCCCGUCGCUCCUACCGAUUGAGUGGUCCGGUGAGGCCUCGGGAUUGUGGCCAGUUUCCUUCAUUGGGAGUUGGCUGCGAGAACUUGUCCAAACCUUAUCAUUUAGAGGAAGGUGAAGUCGUAACA